GCCUCAGUAACGGCGAGUGAAGCGGCAACAGCUCAAAUUUGAAAUCUGGCUCUUGGGUCCGAGUUGUAAUUUGUAGAGGAUGUUUUGGGUACCGCCGCGGUUUAAAUUUCUUGGAACAGAAUGUCAGAGAGGGUGAGAGUCCCGUCUGGAACUGCGGUAGGGCCUGGGUAAAACUCCUUCGACGAGUCGAGUUGUUUGGGAAUGCAGCUCAAAAUGGGUGGUAAAUUUCAUCUAAAGCUAAAUAUUGGCCAGAGACCGAUAGCGCACAAGUAGAGUGAUCGAAAGAUGAAAAGCACUUUGAAAAGAGAGUUAAACAGUAUGUGAAAUUGUUGAAAGGGAAGCGCUUGCAACCAGACUUGUGUGUGGCGGUUCCCCCUUGCUUCUGCUUGGGCUACUCCGUCAUAUCCAGGCCAACAUCGGUUCCAGGGGUCGGUUAAAGGCCCUGGGAAUGUAUCUACCCCCGGGUAGACUUAUAGCCCAGGGUGUCAUGCGGCCUCCCGGGACCGAGGAACACGCUUCGGCGAGGAUGUUGGCGUAAUGGUUGUCAGCGACCCGUCUUGAAACACGGACCAAGGAGUCUAACAUCUAUGCGAGUGUUUGGGUGUCAAACCCGUACGCGAAAUGAAAGUGAACGGAGGUAGGAAGCCCUUAGGCUGCACUAUCGACCGAUCCUGAUAUUUAUGGAUGGAUUUGAGUAAGAGCAUAGCUGUUGGGACCCGAAAGAUGGUGAACUAUGCCUGAAUAGGGUGAAGCCAGAGGAAACUCUGGUGGAGGCUCGCAGCGGUUCUGACGUGCAAAUCGAUCGUCAAAUUUGGGUAUAGGGGCGAAAGACUAAUCGAACCAUCUGGU
The sequence is a ribosomal RNA, 849 nucleotides long. It matches the Rfam family "Eukaryotic large subunit ribosomal RNA", at positions 77 to 948 of the family's 3401-position model.